This 118-nucleotide microRNA precursor is filed under the name Triticum aestivum (bread wheat). RNAcentral's name for it is "pre miRNA MIR164". It matches the Rfam family "MIR164 microRNA precursor family". The record is from RNAcentral. Lineage: Eukaryota; Viridiplantae; Streptophyta; Magnoliopsida; Poales; Poaceae. RNAcentral also lists the same sequence under 2 other names.
AGGUCCCUGUUGGAGAAGCAGGGCACGUGCAAAUUAUGAUCGUAGCACGCUUCGUGCUUGUAUAGUACGUGCAUGCAUGGAUCGUCGUGCACGCGCUCCCCUUCUCCACCAUGGCCUU